This 253-nucleotide ribosomal RNA is filed under the name uncultured bacterium. RNAcentral describes it as "partial 16S ribosomal RNA". It matches the Rfam family "Bacterial small subunit ribosomal RNA", at positions 524 to 776 of the family's 1533-position model. The record is from RNAcentral.
UACGGAGGGUGCAAGCGUUGUUCGGAAUUAUUGGGCGUAAAGGGCGUGUAGGCGGUUCGUUAAGUCUGAUGUGAAAGCCCCGGGCUCAACCUGGGAAGUGCAUUGGAAACUGGCGAACUUGAGUACGGGAGAGGGCAGUGGAAUUCCUAGUGUAGGAGUGAAAUCCGUAGAUAUUAGGAGGAACACCGGUGGCGAAGGCGGCUGCCUGGACCGAUACUGACGCUGAGACACGAAAGCGUGGGUAGCAAACAGG